This 337-nucleotide unclassified non-coding RNA is filed under the name soil metagenome. Its description in RNAcentral is "partial contains 5.8S ribosomal RNA, internal transcribed spacer 2, and large subunit ribosomal RNA". The stretch from base 1 to 120 matches the Rfam family "5.8S ribosomal RNA", at positions 35 to 154 of the family's 154-position model. The record is from RNAcentral.
GAUGAAGAACGCAGUGAAAUGCGAUAAGUAAUGUGAAUUGCAGAAUUCAGUGAAUCAUCGAAUCUUUGAACGCACAUUGCGCCCGCCAGUAUUCUGGCGGGCAUGCCUGUUCGAGCGUCAUUUCAACCAUCAAGCCCCCCGGCUUGUGUUGGGGACCUGCGGCUGCCGCAGGCCCUGAAAAGCAGUGGCGGGCUCGCUGUCACACCGAGCGUAGUAGCAUACAUCUCGCUCUGGGCGUGCUGCGGGUUCCGGCCGUUAAACCACCUUCAUAACCCAAGGUUGACCUCGGAUCAGGUAGGAAGACCCGCUGAACUUAAGCAUAUCAAUAAGCGGAGGA